Molecule: unclassified non-coding RNA, 430 nt
Filed under: soil metagenome
Description: partial contains 5.8S ribosomal RNA, internal transcribed spacer 2, and large subunit ribosomal RNA
Rfam family: 5.8S ribosomal RNA (bases 1-120)
Source: RNAcentral
GAUGAAGAACGCAGCGAAAUGCGAUACGUAAUGUGAAUUGCAGAAUUCAGUGAAUCAUCGAAUCUUUGAACGCAUAUUGCGCUCUCUGGUAUUCCGGAGAGCAUGCUUGUUUGAGUAUCAGUAAACACCUCAACUCCCUUUUCUUUUUUGAAAUUGGAGCUGGACUUGAGUGAUCCCAACGCUUUCUUCCAAGAAAGUGGCGGGUUGCUUGAAACGCAGGUGCAGCUGAACUUUUCUCUGAGCUAUAAGCAUAUCUAUUUAGUCUGCCUAAAAAACAGAUUAUUACCUUUGCUGCAGCUAACAUAAAGGAGACUAGUUCUUGUGCUGACUGAUGCAGGAUUCACAGAGACAGCUUCGGCUGACUUUGUAAACUCGAUCUCAAAUCAAGUAAGACUACCCGCUGAACUUAAGCAUAUCAAUAAGCGGAGGA